ACGUAGGGGGCGAGCGUUGUCCGGAUUUAUUGGGCGUAAAGGGAGCGCAGGUGGCUAAGUUCGUCGAUAGUGUAAGCUCCAGGCUCAACUUGGAGAGGUCUAUCGAUACUGCUUGGCUUGAGGGCGGUAGAGGAGCACGGAAUUCCAGGUGUAGUGGUGAAAUGCGUAGAUAUCUGGAGGAACACCAGUGGCGAAAGCGGUGCUCUGGGCCGUCCCUGACACUCAGGCUCGAAAGCGUGGGGAGCGAACAGG
This 252-nucleotide ribosomal RNA is filed under the name uncultured bacterium. Its description in RNAcentral is "partial 16S ribosomal RNA". It matches the Rfam family "Bacterial small subunit ribosomal RNA", at positions 525 to 776 of the family's 1533-position model. The record is from RNAcentral.